AUUCCUAGAAGCAGCUUAGCCUGCCUCACCUGGGGCACCUGGAUCACCACCUCACAGGCUUUGUGGGAACGGAGUCCCUUGAAUUCACACAUGUUGUCCAAGUAAUUGGUUUUCCAGAGUGUCAGCAAUGCUUCUUAAAUGCAGGGGAUUCUCCGUUCCGGAGAAAACAGUUCCUGGGCAAGCAAGGACAGAUAGAAAGCAGCAACAAGACCUGUGUCGACAGCCCUUGACCGUCUCUGUUUUAGGACCGAGGUCGUUGCCUAAAAUCGGGAGCAACUGGGAGCGUGAAGUGACCAUUUCAUUGCCAUUCCUGUUCAUGAACAAGUAGAGGCCCAGGC
RNAcentral lists this long non-coding RNA (338 nucleotides) under Mus caroli (Ryukyu mouse). RNAcentral's name for it is "lncRNA (MGP_CAROLIEiJ_G0002731.1)". The record is from RNAcentral. Lineage: Eukaryota; Metazoa; Chordata; Mammalia; Rodentia; Muridae.